AUGCGUUGACACAUCGGAAAUAUAAGCUUCUGGGUUCUUUGCUGAAACCAAGUCUUUCUUUGAAUCAUCCUCUGAGUCCCUGUUCUUACAUUUGUCACGAAUCAUCUCUGGCAUUUUACUGCUUGAACUCCAUCUAGACUUUUCAACAACAGGGCAAAAGGUCUGGUUCUCGUCAUCGAGUGCAUCAUCUUGUAUAAUUUUUUUGGAAGAUACAUCUGAUUCCACUUCACUUGUGUUCCUUGUAUUUGCAUCCUUCGU
This 258-nucleotide unclassified non-coding RNA is filed under the name Hevea brasiliensis (rubber tree). The record is from RNAcentral. Lineage: Eukaryota; Viridiplantae; Streptophyta; Magnoliopsida; Malpighiales; Euphorbiaceae.